UACGUAGGGGGCUAGCGUUGUCCGGAAUCAUUGGGCGUAAAGCGCGUGUAGGCGGCCCGGUAAGUCCGCUGUGAAAGUCGGGGGCUCAACCCUCGGAUGCCGGUGGAUACUGUCGGGCUCGAGUACGGAAGAGGCGAGUGGAAUUCCUGGUGUAGCGGUGAAAUGCGCAGAUAUCAGGAGGAACACCAAUUGCGAAGGCAGCUCGCUGGGACGUAACUGACGCUGAGACGCGAAAGCGUGGGGAGCAAACGGG
Molecule: ribosomal RNA, 253 nt
Filed under: uncultured bacterium
Lineage: Bacteria
Description: partial 16S ribosomal RNA
Rfam family: Bacterial small subunit ribosomal RNA
Source: RNAcentral